GCCAUACCCACUGUCCUUGGGAAGCCUACUCAAUGUCUUCACCAUUUACUGAUGAACAUGAUGGCAUACUGAAGAGUCUAAGUCAGAAAGAGAUGGAGAGAGUAGAGAGACCAGAGAGUGACAGAAGAAAGCUGACCUUCAGCCUCAAUGUAAAACAUCAAGAAAGAAAUAGUCAAGAGAAUGGAGUCAUGACUUCUGUGCAGGAAAAUGGAAGCUUCCUGGAGGAAGUGGACUUGAGCUUAAUCUUCCAAUAAUGGGCCUCAAAAAGCUGGAGUGUCUGGGAACCAACAGAACUUCCCUGCUUAUUAUGGCUCUUGAAAUUCAAGGAUUCCAGGAUAUUAAUUUUUCUGGUUCCGAAGUCAGCAAAUGGAGGAAAUUCGUCAAAGAUCUGUUUACAGAAACCUUAAUAAAGAAGCACAGAAAUUAGAAGGAUACAAAGAAGAUUUCACAGGAGCAAUUUGUAAUUCCCAGCAAGACAAAAUUUUCUUUACUAUUCUGGCACUCAAGUCAGAGGCAGAUAUACCUGCACCUAUCUUUUGAGUUUUGGGGUUAAAGUCAUAAGACAAUA
Peromyscus maniculatus bairdii (prairie deer mouse) is the source of this 568-nucleotide non-coding RNA. NCBI's taxonomy places the organism in Eukaryota, Metazoa, Chordata, Mammalia, Rodentia, Cricetidae. The record is from RefSeq and is a predicted model, not a curated record.